GACGAACGCUGGCGGCGUGCUUAACACAUGCAAGUCGAACGGAAAGGCCCUGCUUUUGUGGGGUGCUCGAGUGGCGAACGGGUGAGUAACACGUGAGUAACCUGCCCUUGACUUUGGGAUAACUUCAGGAAACUGGGGCUAAUACCGGAUAGGAGCUCCUGCUGCAUGGUGGGGGUUGGAAAGUUUCGGCGGUUGGGGUUGGACUCGCGGCUUAUCAGCUUGUUGGUGGGGUAGUGGCUUACCAAGGCGUUGACGGGUAGCCGGCCUGAGAGGGUGACCGGCCACAUUGGGACUGAGAUACGGCCCAGACUCCUACGGGAGGCAGCAGUGGGGAAUAUUGCACAAUGGGCGGAAGCCUGAUGCAGCAACGCCGCGUGCGGGAUGACGGCCUUCGGGUUGUAAACCGCUUUCGCCUGUGACGAAGCGUGAGUGACGGUAAUGGGUAAAGAAGCACCGGCUAACUACGUG
RNAcentral lists this ribosomal RNA (468 nucleotides) under uncultured bacterium. Its description in RNAcentral is "partial 16S ribosomal RNA". It matches the Rfam family "Bacterial small subunit ribosomal RNA", at positions 28 to 507 of the family's 1533-position model. The record is from RNAcentral.